This 342-nucleotide long non-coding RNA is filed under the name Carica papaya (papaya). RNAcentral describes it as "long non-coding RNA (CPAP_LNC011110)". Lineage: Eukaryota; Viridiplantae; Streptophyta; Magnoliopsida; Brassicales; Caricaceae. The record is from RNAcentral.
CUGACCGUCCAUUUGUGUCGACGUGGAGCAAGAAGAGCUAUCCGAUUUGAGGACCAUUUAAGCAUAUCCAGGUGCAAAUUUGUGCUAUCCAUCGCGAUCCUUUGGAGUGAAUCCCAAUCGUUCAUCGGCACAUAGUUGGAUCUUCGCAUAAUUGAUCAGAGCUAUCCAUUUAAAUAUAGGAAGGAUUGGGAUCUCUUCGUUCGUGCGAGCAGGAUAAAUGUGGGCUAUUCAGUCGCCUAGGCAUGCGGAUCGCCCGCGUGGCUCCCGUGUGGAACCCGUAUCAGCAUGUCCACCACGCGGCGCGUUCUGACUCGCUGUUGUUGCUAACAUAGCUAUCCCAUA